GAUGAACGCUGGCGGCGUGCCUAAUACAUGCAAGUCGAGCGAACAGACGAGGAGCUUGCUCCUCUGACGUUAGCGGCGGACGGGUGAGUAACACGUGGAUAACCUACCUAUAAGACUGGGAUAACUUCGGGAAACCGGAGCUAAUACCGGAUAAUAUAUUGAACCGCAGGGUUCAAUAGUGAAAGACGGUUUUGCUGUCACUUAUAGAUGGAUCCGCGCCGCAUUAGCUAGUUGGUAAGGUAACGGCUUACCAAGGCAACGAUGCGUAGCCGACCUGAUAGGGUGAUCGGCCACACUGGAACUGAGACACGGUCCAGACUCCUACGGGAGGCAGCAGUAGGGAAUCUUCCGCAAUGGGCGAAAGCCUGACGGAGCAACGCCGCGUGAGUGAUGAAGGUCUUCGGAUCGUAAAACUCUGUUAUUAGGGAAGAACAAAUGUGUAAGUAACUAUGCACGUCUUGACGGUACCUAAUCAGAAAGCAACGGCUAACUACGUG
Molecule: ribosomal RNA, 497 nt
Filed under: uncultured bacterium
Lineage: Bacteria
Description: partial 16S ribosomal RNA
Rfam family: Bacterial small subunit ribosomal RNA
Source: RNAcentral